GCCCUGUUGAGUACCGAUUAGAGAGGGGAGAGAUUGGAGAGGGGGGGGAAAAAAUAAAUGAGAGAAAUUAGAGAAUGAGAAACUCUCGCAUACAAAUGAAAGCACACCAGGUAUUAAAUAACAAAUAAAUAGCCAGGCGGCGGCCGUGUAUAUGGCGUGUGACACAAAGUAUCCACAAUAUUUCAACUACUUUUGUUUAUGCGAUCGUAUGUAUGUCGUACAUCGACUUUUUUGUCGAACAACUUUUGAGUACCUUCAUACAUAUACUUAAGAGCGGACGGACGAGCUGGAACCUGCGUGUCGCCUUUAGAGAGUUUUCACUGUACAUGCAUAACUAUUUGAGCAAAAUGUUUUGCUACAAAAUCCGAUAAAUAAAAGCGAAACUUUUGUUUGUUUUCUUGGCAACUGUACAAUUUUCUGGCAUGUACUAAUCUGGUCUCGCUGAAAGCAAUACAAAAACAUUGGCACAAAUGCUCUGGAAUUAAACUUCAGACUCGAAAAUAUGUCAAAUUUGCCGUUUGCAAAACGAGAUAAUUCAAAUUGUGUAUGUGCUGUAGAGGAUCGCUUACGCAGAUAAGAUUAUAAUGAAUAUAUUGCUAAAUGCAAGAAACUUUCGCUGCGCAAUUUAUGAAAAACGGAGGCGUGUGCUGUGUGACUCAGAUAAUAGCAAAAAAAAUCAGUUUCAAUGGGGGAAUUACAUAAGAAUCCACAGCAAUGUUGAUAACAAAGUAUAAAGCAAAAGGGAAACAAUAUUGUAUGUGGUCGAAGGGAACUAAAUCGGUUCCGUUCAUUGAACUGCCGACCCAGAACAGAAUUCAACAAGUUGGUAGCACCGGGUCAACAAAAUUGUGACACGCAAUUCAAUCGAACAGUUAAGAAAUGCUUCCUUUUUUGGUUAAGAGUUAAAUUUACGAAAUUCAUAUUAAAAUACAUACAUACAUUUGUGUGCUAACGUAUGGCUAAACAUCAUGUAAGAUAUUUGUGCGGCACUUUUUGAAAAGUGCGCGGGACAUUCACAAUGGUGAUUAUGUAAACCUGGCGUUUUGCUUAGCAGGCCAUGUGUGUGUGGUAGUGUAUACAUAUUAUAUGCAUGUGUACACAUACAUACAUAUAUACAUAACAUUUGUGUGCUGUAGAACGGCGGAACAACUAACGUCAGGGAGAACGAGUGACGAAUUUGCUGAAGCAGCAGACGUUGGCAGACUGACUGACUGUGCACACAUACACAAAACAAACGCAUACAUACAGAAAGUGUACUAUGAGCAUAUGCGCGCACACACCCGCCGCCGCAGUCACAAUUAAUACAUACAUACAUCUGUACAUCUGUAUGUAUGUAUAUUCAAAUGAAAAAGCGAAGCAUGCGGUCGCCAACCACGGCGAUAAUAGCUAAUUCUGAAGAAAAUAAGUAUCUACAUGUGAAAUGCCCAGUUGCUGUUGCAAUUGUUGACUUGAAAACGCGCAGCGAUUUAUUUUCUGUAUGACAGCCUCGGGGUUUGGCGUCGGCGGCAAUGAACCUGGCGCGUAUGCGUGUCCUUGACACAAGGAUAACUGUUAUCAGCUGCUUAUACAUUUUUUCUUUGCUUAUGCCCUGAUUUUUCACACAAACAUUAUAAAUAUAUUUUUUGUGUUGCUUACCUGACACCUGCAGACAAUGUCCACUUCCGAUGCGAGCAUGUCCACCACCUUGCCUUUGCCCUCAUCGCCCCAUUGGGCGCCUAGGA
Drosophila virilis is the source of this 1721-nucleotide non-coding RNA. NCBI's taxonomy places the organism in Eukaryota, Metazoa, Arthropoda, Insecta, Diptera, Drosophilidae. The record is from RefSeq and is a predicted model, not a curated record.